UGCUGCCUUACAGAAAGAUGUUCCAUGGAGAGCUUCUUCUGGUGCAAAACCCAUCCCUAAAAUUCAUUAUUCCCCUAUUCUUCGUAUACCUCAAAACCCUCUUUCCGAUUAUGCUCUCUCUAUCAUGAAGCAUCCAGAUCCAAUUGGAAGUGGAUUGGGGACGGAGGCAAUAGUAGAAGCAGCAGGGCCUGAUUGCAUUGUUCCUGGACAAAAUCCACCUAUCAAGCUUUUGGGGCUUAAGGUAUGGCCCAUUGAAGUCGACUUGAAAUUUAUGGAACCUGUUGGACGA
RNAcentral lists this unclassified non-coding RNA (289 nucleotides) under Hevea brasiliensis (rubber tree). The record is from RNAcentral. Lineage: Eukaryota; Viridiplantae; Streptophyta; Magnoliopsida; Malpighiales; Euphorbiaceae.